GGAGAAGUGGCCGAGUGGUUUAAGGCGCACGCCUGGAACGCGUGUUGGGUGCAAGCCCUCGCAGGUUCGAAUCCUGUCUUCUCCG
Molecule: transfer RNA, 85 nt
Filed under: Saprospiraceae bacterium
Lineage: Bacteria; Pseudomonadati; Bacteroidota; Saprospiria; Saprospirales; Saprospiraceae
Description: tRNA-Ser
Rfam family: tRNA
About the family: Transfer RNA (tRNA) molecules are approximately 80 nucleotides in length. Their secondary structure includes four short double-helical elements and three loops (D, anti-codon, and T loops).
Source: RNAcentral